RNAcentral lists this ribosomal RNA (440 nucleotides) under uncultured bacterium. Its description in RNAcentral is "bacterial SSU rRNA". It matches the Rfam family "Bacterial small subunit ribosomal RNA", at positions 339 to 796 of the family's 1533-position model. The record is from RNAcentral.
GUACGGAAGGCAGCAGUGGGGAAUCUUGCGCAAUGGGCGAAAGCCUGACGCAGCCAUGCCGCGUGAAUGAUGAAGGUCUUAGGAUAGUAAAAUUCUUUCACCGGGGACGAUAAUGACGGUACCCGGAGAAGAAGCCCCGGCUAACUUCGUGCCAGCAGCCGCGGUAAUACGAAGGGGGCUAGCGUUGCUCGGAAUUACUGGGCGUAAAGGGAGCGUAGGCGGAUCGUUAAGUUAGAGGUGAAAGCCCAGGGCUCAACCUUGGAACUGCCUUUGAUACUGGCGAUCUUGAGUAUGGAAGAGGUAAGUGGAACUCCGAGUGUAGAGGUGAAAUUCGUAGAUAUUCGGAAGAACACCGGUGGCGAAGGCGACUUACUGGUCCAUGACUGACGCUGAGGCUCGAAAGCGUGGGGAGCAAACAGGAUUAGAUACCCCGGUAGUCC